This 114-nucleotide ribosomal RNA is filed under the name Castor canadensis (American beaver). The record is from RNAcentral. Lineage: Eukaryota; Metazoa; Chordata; Mammalia; Rodentia; Castoridae.
GUCUGAGGCCAUAUCACCCUGAAUAUGCUCAAUCUCGAGAGCUAAGCAGGGUCAGGCCUGGUUAGCACUUAGAUCUUCAGAAGAGACUGCUCAGAGACAAGCAGUUUGGAGACA